Molecule: ribosomal RNA, 253 nt
Filed under: uncultured bacterium
Lineage: Bacteria
Description: partial 16S ribosomal RNA
Rfam family: Bacterial small subunit ribosomal RNA
Source: RNAcentral
UACGAAGGGGGCGAGCGUUGUUCGGAUUUACUGGGCGUAAAGGGCGCGUAGGCGGCGGGUCAAGUCGAGUGUGAAAGCCCCGGGCUCAACCUGGGAAUUGCGCUCGAGACUGGUCUGCUUGAGUUCGGGGGAGGAGAGUGGAAUUCCCAGUGUAGAGGUGAAAUUCGUAGAUAUUGGGAAGAACACCGGUGGCGAAGGCGGCUCUCUGGACCGAGACUGACGCUGAGGCGCGAAAGCGUGGGGAGCAAACAGG